GAUGAACGCUGGCGGCGUGCUUAAUACAUGCAAGUCGAGCGAAGCGGGGACGGGUGAGUAACACGUGGACAACCUCCUAUAAGACAGGGAUAACUCCGGGAAACCGGAGCUAAACCGGAUAUUUAUAGAUGGAUACUCGCUGCAUUAGCUAGUUGGUCAGGUUACGGCUUAUCAAGGCAACGAUGGAUAGUCGACCUGAGAGGGUGAUCGGGCCCACUGGAACGGAGACACGGUCCCAACGCCUACGGGAGGCAGCAGUGGGGAAUCUUCCGCGAUGGGCGAAAGCCUGACGGAGAAACGCCGCGAGAGUGAUCGAGGUCUUCGGAUCGAAAGACUCUGUUAUUCGGGAAGCGGUACCUGUUCAGAAAGCCACGGCUAACUACGUGCCAGCAGCCGCGGUAAUAC
Molecule: ribosomal RNA, 405 nt
Filed under: uncultured bacterium
Lineage: Bacteria
Description: partial 16S ribosomal RNA
Rfam family: Bacterial small subunit ribosomal RNA
Source: RNAcentral